RNAcentral lists this ribosomal RNA (253 nucleotides) under uncultured bacterium. RNAcentral's name for it is "partial 16S ribosomal RNA". It matches the Rfam family "Bacterial small subunit ribosomal RNA", at positions 524 to 776 of the family's 1533-position model. The record is from RNAcentral.
UACGUAGGCAGCGAGCGUUGUUCGGAGUUACUGGGCGUAAAGAGUGCGUAGGCGGUUUUCUAAGUUUGGUGUGAAAUCUCCCGGCUUAACUGGGAGGGUGCGCCGAAAACUGGAAGGCUUGAGUGUGGGAGAGGUAAGCGGAAUUCCUGGUGUAGCGGUGAAAUGCGUAGAUAUCAGGAGGAACACCUGUGGUGUAGACAGCUUACUGGACCAUGACUGACGCUGAGGCACGAAGGCCAGGGGAGCAAACGGG